RNAcentral lists this ribosomal RNA (462 nucleotides) under uncultured bacterium. RNAcentral's name for it is "partial 16S ribosomal RNA". It matches the Rfam family "Bacterial small subunit ribosomal RNA", at positions 338 to 795 of the family's 1533-position model. The record is from RNAcentral.
CCUACGGGUGGCAGCAGUGAGGAAUAUUGGUCAAUGGGCGGAAGCCUGAACCAGCCAAGUCGCGUGAGGGAAUAAGGCCCUACGGGUCGUAAACCUCUUUUGCCGGGGAGCAAGGGCGGGGACGUGUCCCGGCCCGGAGAGUACCCGGAGAAAAAGCAUCGGCUAACUCCGUGCCAGCAGCCGCGGUAAUACGGAGGAUGCGAGCGUUAUCCGGAUUUAUUGGGUUUAAAGGGUGCGUAGGUGGCAUAAUAAGUAGCUAGUGAAAUCUGGUGGCUCAACCAUUCAGACUAUUAGCUAAACUGUUAAGCUCGAGACCGUUAGGGGUAACUGGAAUUUCUAGUGUAGGAGUGAAAUCCGGAGAUAUUAGAAAGAACACCAAUAGCGUAGGCAGGUUACUGGGACGGUUCUGACACUAAGGCACGAAAGCGUAGGGAGCAAACGGGAUUAGAUACCCCUGUAGUC